GUGCUCACUUUGGCAGUACGAAAACGGAAUUUGGAAUGAUACAGAGAAGAUGGGCAUGGUCUCUGCUCAAGGAUGACAUGCCAGCUCAAAACAUUCAUAUUGGCUCA
Octodon degus (degu) is the source of this 107-nucleotide small nuclear RNA. Lineage: Eukaryota; Metazoa; Chordata; Mammalia; Rodentia; Octodontidae. The record is from Ensembl.